Long non-coding RNA from Bubalus bubalis (water buffalo), 630 nucleotides. RefSeq lists it as uncharacterized. The record is from RefSeq and is a predicted model, not a curated record. Lineage: Eukaryota; Metazoa; Chordata; Mammalia; Artiodactyla; Bovidae. The transcript has 3 exons.
GGCCUGCUUUGGGUGCGACCACGCUUCUUUCUAGGAGGUACCUGUUCGCCUGUACCUGCGUCCCUAGCAGCUUGGGAGCCCUGCCAGUGCCCCUGGAACUGAACUCCCAGGUGGUGCCAACAGCCCCAGCUUCUCCAAGAGCCAUUCGACUUCCGCCUUGUUCCUUCCCCCCUUCCAAGAGAGCUGGUGCUUCGAGAAACUGCCACAGAUGGGCCAAGGAGAAACACACAUGCUUGUUUUUAAUUUACUUGAAAUCCUCUUUUCUUGGUGCUACUGGGACGGGCGGCUGCCAGGCUCUCCCGGCCGAGCGGCUGGGGACUCGGCCCUGAGGACCAACUCGCUGCAGCAGAGGGAUGAGCUGCUUCAGAUGGAGAACUAAAAGCACAUGCAUUGAGGACUUCCCUGGUAGUCCAAUGGUUAAGGAUCUGCCUUACAAUGCAGGGUAUGUGGGUUUGAUCCCUGGUUGGAGAACUAAGAUCCCACGUGCCGAGGAGCAGCUAAGCCCAUGUGCCACAACUAGAGAGUUACGUUGUACUGAAAGCUCCUGCCUGCUACAACUGAGACGUGGGAAGAUCCCAUGUGAUACAACAAAGAUCCUGAUGCAGCCAAGUAAAUAUUUUUUAAAAAACA